GGAUAACCUGCCCUAUGCUCCGGGAUAACCUCGGGAAACUGAGAAGAAUACCGGAUAGACCACAACGCCUGGAACGGUGUGUGGUUGAAAGGUCACGGCAUAGGAUGGGUCUGCGGCGUAUCAGGUCGUAGGGGGUGUAACGGACCUCCUAGCCAUCGACGCGUACGGGUUGUGGGAGCAAUAGCCCGGAGAUGGAUUCUGAGACACGAAUCCAGACCCUACGGGGUGCAGCAGGCGCGAAAACUUCACACUGCAGGAAACUGUGAUGAGGGAACUCCAAGUGACUGCACAUUGUGUAGCCUUUUCUUUACUAUUAAUCGGUAUUGGAAUAAGGGCUGGGAAAGACCGGUGCCAGCCGCCGCGGUAAUACCGGCAGCUCAAGUGGUCGUCGCUUUUAUUGGGCCUAAAACGUCCGUAGCCUGUUUGGUAAAUCUGUGGGUAAAUCAACCAGCUUAACUGGUUGAAUUCUGCAGAGACUGCCAGACUAGGGACCGGGAGAGGUGUGGGGUACUCUAGGGGUAGGGGUAAAAUCCUGUCAUCCCUAGAGGACCACCAGUUGCGAAGGCGCCACACUGGAACGGAUCCGACGGUCAGGGACGAAGCCUAGGGGCACGAACCGGAUUAGAUACCCGGGUAGUCCUAGGUGGUAACGCUGUGAACUUGGUGUCGGGAGUCCCGCAUGGGCCCCCGGUGCCGGAGUGAAGAUGUUAAGUUCACUGCCUGGGGAGUACGGUCGCAAGGCUGAAACUU
This 750-nucleotide ribosomal RNA is filed under the name uncultured Candidatus Poseidoniales archaeon. Its description in RNAcentral is "bacterial SSU rRNA". It matches the Rfam family "Archaeal small subunit ribosomal RNA", at positions 102 to 857 of the family's 1478-position model. The record is from RNAcentral. Lineage: Archaea; Methanobacteriati; Thermoplasmatota; Candidatus Poseidoniia; Candidatus Poseidoniales.